AUUCGAACCUGCAGCAGGUUCGGGUCGAACGUAGUGAGACAACGGAGCCGUUUACGGCGACGGCCCGAAGGGCGAGCGAAGCGAGUCAUCCUGCACGACCCACCA
RNAcentral lists this small RNA (105 nucleotides) under Citrobacter werkmanii. Its description in RNAcentral is "RtT RNA". It matches the Rfam family "RtT RNA", at positions 22 to 130 of the family's 130-position model. Rfam says of the family: This family represents a bacterial cis-regulatory element known as RtT RNA. The exact function of RtT is unknown although it is thought that it may be involved in changing the cellular response in relation to amino acid starvation. The record is from RNAcentral. Lineage: Bacteria; Pseudomonadati; Pseudomonadota; Gammaproteobacteria; Enterobacterales; Enterobacteriaceae.